This 253-nucleotide ribosomal RNA is filed under the name uncultured bacterium. Its description in RNAcentral is "partial 16S ribosomal RNA". It matches the Rfam family "Bacterial small subunit ribosomal RNA", at positions 524 to 776 of the family's 1533-position model. The record is from RNAcentral.
UACGAAGGGGGCUAGCGUUGCUCGGAAUUACUGGGCGUAAAGCGCACGUAGGCGGAUUGUUAAGUCGGGGGUGAAAUCCUGGAGCUCAACUCCAGAACUGCCUUCGAAACUGGCGAUCUUGAGUCCGGGAGAGGUGAGUGGAACUGCGAGUGUAGAGGUGAAAUUCGUAGAUAUUCGCAAGAACACCAGUGGCGAAGGCGGCUCACUGGUCCGGUACUGACGCUGAGGCGCGAAAGCGUGGGGAGCAAACAGG